AAGUCGUAACAAGGUUUCCGUAGGUGAACCUGCGGAAGGAUCAUUACAGAAUGAAAAGUGCUUAACUGCAUUUUUUCUUACACAUGUGUUUUUCUUUUUUUGAAAACUUUGCUUUGGUAGGCCUUCUAUAUGGGGCCUGCCAGAGAUUAAACUCAACCAAAUUUUAUUUAAUGUCAACCGAUUAUUUAAUAGUCAAAACUUUCAACAACGGAUCUCUUGGUUCUCGCAUCGAUGAAGAACGCAGCGAAAUGCGAUAAGUAAUAUGAAUUGCAGAUAUUCGUGAAUCAUCGAAUCUUUGAACGCACAUUGCGCCCUUUGGUAUUCCAAAGGGCAUGCCUGUUUGAGCGUCAUUUCUCCCUCAAACCCUCGGGCUUGGUGUUGAGCGAUACGCUGGGUUUGCUUGAAAGAAAGGCGGAGUAUAAACUAAUGGAUAGGUUUUUUCCACUCAUUGGUACAAACUCCAAAACUUCUUCCAAAUUCGGCCUCAAAUCAGGUAGGACUACCCGCUGAACUUAA
RNAcentral lists this ribosomal RNA (516 nucleotides) under uncultured fungus. RNAcentral's name for it is "eukaryotic LSU rRNA". The stretch from base 197 to 350 matches the Rfam family "5.8S ribosomal RNA". The record is from RNAcentral. Lineage: Eukaryota; Fungi.